Molecule: ribosomal RNA, 293 nt
Filed under: uncultured eukaryote
Lineage: Eukaryota
Description: partial 18S ribosomal RNA
Rfam family: Eukaryotic small subunit ribosomal RNA
Source: RNAcentral
GGUUGAUCCUGCCAGUAGUCAUAUGCUUGUCUUAAAGAUUAAGCCAUGCAUAUCUAAGUAUAAGCAUUUAUACGGCGAAACUGCGAAUGGCUCAUUAAAUCAGUUAUAGUUCAUUUGAUAAUACCUAAAAACUACUUGGAUAACCGUAGUAAUUCUAGAGCUAAUACAUGCGAAAAACCCCGACUUUUGGGAAGGGGUGCAUUUGUUAGAUACAAAACCAAUGCGGCGGGGCAACUCGUCGGAAACCUUUGGUGAUUCAUGACAACUUUGCGAAUCGCAUGGCCUUUGAGCCG